This is a non-coding RNA of Chelonoidis abingdonii (Abingdon island giant tortoise), 479 nucleotides long. The record is from RefSeq and is a predicted model, not a curated record. Lineage: Eukaryota; Metazoa; Chordata; Testudines; Testudinidae.
UUGAUACGUGCCUCCUCCUGGGGGAUAGUGCGACCACUGAGCUGUGCCCGGGCUCUCCGGCUGGCACCGGGCAAUCCCACACCUACAGCCAGCCGAUGAAAGUACCGCAGGGUCAUACCCAGGAUUCAGAUUCCAGGCCAGGGAGCUGAUGGUCAGGUUGUUUGGCCUUCUGGGGUUCAGGACACAAGAUUGAUAGCUGCACGGGAUGGGCAGACAGGCCCCUGUCCAAGCGAUCAGCGACUUGGGGACCUCGACGGAUGGAUGGAAACAUUGACAGAGGAAGCCUGGAAGCAGCAGAGUGACAGAUGGCAGUGAGGGGCAGGCUGGCCGGGCUCUUCUGGUGCCGAACUGGGACUCAGGAGAUCGCGGUUUGAUUCCCAGCACGAAACUCCUUGUUCAGCUCAUGGUGUGGCUCUGUGCCUCAGUUUUCCCAUCUGUACAAUGAGGAGAACCCAGGAGUUCUGGCUCUCAACCUUCUU